CUAAGUGCGCUGUCUGCAUGACAAGGCUGUCCACACUGCUGGCUAUUGGGAUCUGUCUAUUGCCCAGCCAUGGACAAUGAUUCAAAUUCCCCAUCAUCAUGACAUAUGACAGGAGCAGGUCUCUGGAAACCUGAGAUGUAUGACUGGAAUCCUCUAUUCCCAUGAAGAAUCUAAUACCAUGGAAACGUGCAUGCUUCUUCACAAUCUGCCUCAUUCAACAAUUCUAUCACA
This is a non-coding RNA of Pelobates cultripes (western spadefoot toad), 231 nucleotides long. NCBI's taxonomy places the organism in Eukaryota, Metazoa, Chordata, Amphibia, Anura, Pelobatidae. The record is from the annotation of a GenBank genome assembly.